GGGAAUUUUCCGCAAUGGGCGAAAGCCUGACGGAGCAAUACCGCGUGAGGGAUGACGGCCUAUGGGUUGUAAACCUCUUUUUUCAGGGAGGAAUCAAUGACGUGUACCUGAAGAAUAAGCAUCGGCUAACCCCGUGCCAGCAGCCGCGGUAAGACGGAGGAUGCAAGUGUUAUCCGGAAUCACUGGGCGUAAAGCGUCUGUAGGUGGUUUAAUAAGUCAACUGUUAAAUCUUGAGGCUCAACCUCAAAAUCGCAGUCGAAACUAUUAGACUAGAGUAUAGUAGGGGUAAAGGGAAUUUCCAGUGGAGCGGUGAAAUGCGUAGAUAUUGGAAGGAACACCGAUGGCGAAGGCACCUUACUGGGCUAUUACUAACACUCAGAGACGAAAGCUAGGGUAGCAAAUGGGAUUAGAUACCCCAGUAGUCA
RNAcentral lists this ribosomal RNA (425 nucleotides) under uncultured cyanobacterium. RNAcentral describes it as "bacterial SSU rRNA". It matches the Rfam family "Bacterial small subunit ribosomal RNA", at positions 357 to 796 of the family's 1533-position model. The record is from RNAcentral. Lineage: Bacteria; Bacillati; Cyanobacteriota.